This 1346-nucleotide ribosomal RNA is filed under the name uncultured bacterium. RNAcentral describes it as "bacterial SSU rRNA". It matches the Rfam family "Bacterial small subunit ribosomal RNA", at positions 28 to 1394 of the family's 1533-position model. The record is from RNAcentral.
GACGAACGCUGGCGGCGUGCUUAACACAUGCAAGUCGAACGGAAAGGCCCGCUUGCGGGUACUCGAGUGGCGAACGGGUGAGUAACACGUGGGCAACCUGCCCUCAGCUUUGGGAUAACACUUGGAAACAGGUGCUAAUACCGGAUAUGACCUGUGCGGGCAUCCGUGUGGGUUGAAAGUUUUUUCGGCUGAGGAUGGGCCCGCGGCCUAUCAGCUUGUUGGUGGGGUGAUGGCCUACCAAGGCGACGACGGGUAGCCGGCCUGAGAGGGCGACCGGCCACACUGGGACUGAGACACGGCCCAGACUCCUACGGGAGGCAGCAGUGGGGAAUAUUGCGCAAUGGGCGAAAGCCUGACGCAGCGACGCCGCGUGAGGGAUGACGGCCUUCGGGUUGUAAACCUCUUUCAGCAGGAACGAAUUUGACGGUACCUGCAGAAGAAGCACCGGCUAACUACGUGCCAGCAGCCGCGGUAAUACGUAGGGUGCAAGCGUUGUCCGGAUUUAUUGGGCGUAAAGAGCUCGUAGGCGGUUUGUCGCGUCGAAUGUGAAAGCCCGGGGCUUAACUCCGGGUCUGCAUUCGAUACGGGCAGACUAGAGUUCGGUAGGGGAGACUGGAAUUCCUGGUGUAGCGGUGAAAUGCGCAGAUAUCAGGAGGAACACCGGUGGCGAAGGCGGGUCUCUGGGCCGAUACUGACGCUGAGGAGCGAAAGCGUGGGGAGCGAACAGGAUUAGAUACCCUGGUAGUCCACGCCGUAAACGGUGGGCGCUAGGUGUGGGGGUCCUUCCACGACCUCUGUGCCGCAGCUAACGCAUUAAGCGCCCCGCCUGGGGAGUACGGCCGCAAGGCUAAAACUCAAAGGAAUUGACGGGGGCCCGCACAAGCGGCGGAGCAUGCGGAUUAAUUCGAUGCAACGCGAAGAACCUUACCAAGGCUUGACAUGCACGGGAAACAUUCAGAGAUGGGUGCCCCGCAAGGUCCGUGCACAGGUGGUGCAUGGUUGUCGUCAGCUCGUGUCGUGAGAUGUUGGGUUAAGUCCCGCAACGAGCGCAACCCUUGUCUCAUGUUGCCAGCACGUUAUGGUGGGGACUCAUGAGAGACUGCCGGGGUCAACUCGGAGGAAGGUGGGGAUGACGUCAAAUCAUCAUGCCCCUUAUGUCUUGGGCUUCACGCAUGCUACAAUGGCCGGUACAAAGGGCUGCGAAACCGUGAGGUGGAGCGAAUCCCAAAAAGCCGGUCUCAGUUCGGAUUGGGGUCUGCAACUCGACCCCAUGAAGUCGGAGUCGCUAGUAAUCGCAGAUCAGCAACGCUGCGGUGAAUACGUUCCCGGGCCUUGUACACACCGCC